This 213-nucleotide long non-coding RNA is filed under the name Lathyrus oleraceus (garden pea). RNAcentral describes it as "Pisum sativum (pea) long non-coding RNA (PSAT_LNC010248)". The record is from RNAcentral. Lineage: Eukaryota; Viridiplantae; Streptophyta; Magnoliopsida; Fabales; Fabaceae.
GAAAAUCUGCGUUGGGUAGAUUCAUCAGCCUGGGUGUGUUGCGUCUGGUAAAGUAUCUGUGCGGACGGGUUGUGUGCAAGGGAAUGACUAUACGCGCACGAGCAAUGAUUCUUGUAACAACCAAGCACGUUAGAAACUGACACCUGCAAAAUAGAAGACAAGUUAUUAUGAUUAUGCAUGAAUGCAAUGUCUAUCCAUAUGAGGAACACUCUG